RNAcentral lists this ribosomal RNA (488 nucleotides) under uncultured bacterium. RNAcentral describes it as "bacterial SSU rRNA". It matches the Rfam family "Bacterial small subunit ribosomal RNA", at positions 28 to 507 of the family's 1533-position model. The record is from RNAcentral.
GACGAACACUGGCGGCGUGGAUUAGGCAUGCAAGUCGAACGGUAGGAUACCUUCGGGUAUCUGAGAGUGGCGAACGGGUGAGUAACACGUAGGUGAUCUACCCUCAAGAUUGGGACAACCCAGGGAAACUUGGGCUAAUACCGGAUGAAAGCAGCAGUGAUGUUGUUUGAAAGGUGGCGUAAGCUGCCGUUUGGGGAUGAGCCUGCGCUCUAUUAGUUAGUUGGCGGGGUAAAGGCCCACCAAGGCGAUGAUAGAUAGGCGGCCUUAACGGGUGGUCGCCCACACUGGGAUUGAGAUACGGCCCAGACUCCUACGGGAGGCAGCAGUCGAGAAUAGUCUACAAUGGCCGAAAGGCUGAUAGUGCGACGCCGCGUGAACGAAGAAGCCCUUCGGGGUGUAAAGUUCUUUUAUAUGUGAGCAGUGCUUUCUAUGUGAACAGCAUGGGGAGAGAGAUAUUAGCAUAUGAAUAAGCAACGGCUAACUCCGUG